CAGACUCUUGGGCACUUGGGUAUCUUGGGUUUAAAAUAGCGAUUCUCUGAGGCCAUACAAUAGCAGGGGCUUAUAUGGGGCUCUGAGGAAGGGAAGGAGCAGAAUUGCACAAGAGGUUUCGGCUGACAUGGCCAAAAUAGCAGCAAAGCUUAGCAUUCCAAGCUGUUCCCAGCUGGCAUUCUUCCAAUCAGGCAUCUAACCUAUGAAGGGGGGAGAGAGUGGGUGGGCUGGUUGGAGGGCUCUUGUUAAAGCUUCACUCUUUCAAAUUGCCUUUCUCAGACCCUCCACUGGUUUCCACUGAAAGGACAUUCACCUGUUCUCUGCACAAGAGACAACUGAAAAUGUCAGACACUGAAGAGAUCAUUGAGGAAAAUGAAGAGUAUGAAGAUUUUAACUGAGCUGUUUUCUUUUUUCCUUUCAGGGAACAGGAAGG
This is a long non-coding RNA of Anolis carolinensis (green anole), 433 nucleotides long. RefSeq lists it as uncharacterized. The transcript has 3 exons. The record is from RefSeq and is a predicted model, not a curated record. NCBI's taxonomy places the organism in Eukaryota, Metazoa, Chordata, Lepidosauria, Squamata, Anolidae.